UUGCAACUCUUAUUCUCAGUUUUGUACAUUGUAGCUUAUCAUCAUUAAAAAUCCUCCUGCUCAAGACAUCAAGUUCCCAAAAAUGAAAACACUCGAUGUUACCACAGUCGAGAGCAUGGUUUGCAAGGUGGUCUUCUAGAUUGUUUCCCUCUCUGAAAAUGUGAGAUACCUUGAAGUUACACCCCGUUUUGAGUAUGUUGAUUUUCUCCACCGCAUCCACAAUAUUCCAGGGUGGCUUCCAUUGUCCAUCUAUGAUCUUUUGAAGCAUCAGUG
This 273-nucleotide long non-coding RNA is filed under the name Nicotiana benthamiana. RNAcentral's name for it is "long non-coding RNA (NBEN_LNC001654)". The record is from RNAcentral. Lineage: Eukaryota; Viridiplantae; Streptophyta; Magnoliopsida; Solanales; Solanaceae.